GUGCCAGCAGCCGCGGUAAUACGUAGGGUGCGAGCGUUAAUCGGAAUUACUGGGCGUAAAGCGUGCGCAGGCGGCUUUGCAAGACAGAGGUGAAAUCCCCGGGCUCAACCUGGGAACUGCCUUUGUGACUGCAAGGCUAGAGUACGGCAGAGGGGGAUGGAAUUCCGCGUGUAGCAGUGAAAUGCGUAGAUAUGCGGAGGAACACCGAUGGCGAAGGCAAUCCCCUGGGCCUGUACUGACGCUCAUGCACGAAAGCGUGGGGAGCAAACA
Molecule: ribosomal RNA, 270 nt
Filed under: uncultured Burkholderiales bacterium
Lineage: Bacteria; Pseudomonadati; Pseudomonadota; Betaproteobacteria; Burkholderiales
Description: partial 16S ribosomal RNA
Rfam family: Bacterial small subunit ribosomal RNA
Source: RNAcentral